GAAUAAUUCUGACUCAACCCAACAAGGAUCGUGAAUCCAAAAAUAAUCCUAAUGAGUUCUCACAAUUGACCAGUGAUGCCUAGCAACAUAUAGUAACAACCCAGUAGAAUAAAAAAAUAUGAAUUCUUAGGUACAAUUACUAUGUGAUUCAGUCUCCCUAUCGUGAGUCCCAACUUGAUGGAGGUUACGAAGAACUCAUCAAACCUCAUCGUCAGUCAUAUGUCAGAUUGGCUCAACUCGAGUUCAUUUGUAAAUCUUAUAAAAUUUUUUUUUAGCAUUCACACUAACUU
Molecule: long non-coding RNA, 290 nt
Filed under: Elaeis guineensis (African oil palm)
Lineage: Eukaryota; Viridiplantae; Streptophyta; Magnoliopsida; Arecales; Arecaceae
Description: long non-coding RNA (EGUI_LNC066098)
Source: RNAcentral